UCGUAACUAGGGCUGGAAGUGGGCUCGGGCCGCUUGCGGGCCGGGCUAUGGGCUAGACCCAAUGAAUUUCGGGCCGGGCUCGGGCUGCAAACUUAAGCCCAAUUUUAUUUCGGGCCGGGCUCGGGUUUUCCAUUGGCCCGGCCCGGCCCGGACCAAGCCCGAGCCCAAUGCCAGCCCAAACCGAAAUAAAAUCACGGCCCAAACGGGCUGACCCAAACGGUUUGUUAGGAUCUUUUUGGGCCUUUUUUUCCUUCUUGGCCUGUCUUUUGCUACUCUUAUCUGCCUUAAUAGCAGCCUUGCGUUUCCCAACCUUCCUGAAAUAAAGAAACUUCAAAUAUAUUUCUAGAACAACAUAGCAUGCUGAAAACCUCUCUUCUGCAAAGGGAUCUUGGCUACAGUAAAAUCCUUAAUGUUGAACGUGCAGAAGAAGGACCUUCCGUCAUAACAUAUAUUUGUGUCACUCAUCGGAAAUACUCAUAUAAUUACAAAAUGACCACUUGUGUGCCCCAGCCUUGCUGCAAAUGUGCCUAGAACCUCGUGUGUGCAUCUGCACUUAAACUCAGUGUUUCCAUGCUCCAUAGGCUCAAUAAGUUUACUCAGCAAAUAAGAUGAA
RNAcentral lists this long non-coding RNA (613 nucleotides) under Phoenix dactylifera (date palm). RNAcentral describes it as "long non-coding RNA (PDAC_LNC020295)". The record is from RNAcentral. Lineage: Eukaryota; Viridiplantae; Streptophyta; Magnoliopsida; Arecales; Arecaceae.